This 490-nucleotide ribosomal RNA is filed under the name uncultured Butyrivibrio sp. RNAcentral's name for it is "bacterial SSU rRNA". It matches the Rfam family "Bacterial small subunit ribosomal RNA", at positions 771 to 1261 of the family's 1533-position model. Lineage: Bacteria; Bacillati; Bacillota; Clostridia; Lachnospirales; Lachnospiraceae. The record is from RNAcentral.
ACAAGGAUAUGAUACCCUGGUAGUCCACGGCCUAAGACAUGAAUACUAGGUGUUGGCUUCCAUAGGGAGUCGGUGCCGCAGUACACGCAAUAAGUAUUCCACCUGGGGAGUACGUCUGCAAGAUAGAAACUCAAAGGAAUUGACGGGGACCCGCACAAGCGGUGGAGCAUGUGGUUUAAUUCGAAGCAACGCGAAGAACCUUACCAAAUCUUGACAUCCUCUUGACAAAGUAUGUAAUGUACUCUUCCUGUCGGACAAGAGUGACAGGUGGUGCAUGGUUGUCGUCAGCUCGUCUGGUGAGAUGUUGGGUUAAGUCCCGCAACGAGCGCAACCCUUAUCUUUAGUAGCCAGCAUUUCGGAUGGGCACUCUAGAGAGACUGCCCGGGUGAACCGGGAGGAAGGUGGGGAUGACGUCAAAUCAUCAUGCCCCUUAUGAUUGGUGCUACACACGUGCUACAAUGGCGUAAACAAAGGGACAGAAGUAGGUGAC